CUACCAAGGAUAACUUGACUAUUUUUUGUCGAAGACAAGAUUCAUAAGCUGGGUAGACUCUGGAUCAAGAGAGCCAAGGAUCCCAUCCUUUUUCAGUUUGUUUGUCCUGUCCUCUCCAAUAUAGCUUAGUCUAUGAUGCCACAAGUACUUCUAGUUAAUUUCAUCUCUGGGUCUUUUUUGACCUACGAUACUAACUAUUUACUCA
Molecule: long non-coding RNA, 205 nt
Filed under: Elaeis guineensis (African oil palm)
Lineage: Eukaryota; Viridiplantae; Streptophyta; Magnoliopsida; Arecales; Arecaceae
Description: long non-coding RNA (EGUI_LNC055807)
Source: RNAcentral